This 72-nucleotide transfer RNA is filed under the name Chloroflexota bacterium. Its description in RNAcentral is "tRNA-Met". It matches the Rfam family "tRNA". From Rfam's summary of the family: Transfer RNA (tRNA) molecules are approximately 80 nucleotides in length. Their secondary structure includes four short double-helical elements and three loops (D, anti-codon, and T loops). Lineage: Bacteria; Bacillati; Chloroflexota. The record is from RNAcentral. RNAcentral also lists the same sequence under 1 other name.
GGCGAGGUAGCUCAGUGGUAGAGCAGGGGACUCAUAAGCCCUUGGUCGGCGGUUCAAAUCCGCCCCUCGCCA